GGGGGAUAGGCCGGCGAAAGCCGGAUUAAUACCGCAUACGAUCUGGGGAUGAAAGCGGGGGACCUUCGGGCCUCGCGCUCAAGGAGCGGCCGAUGGCGGAUUAGCUAGUUGGUGAGGUAAAGGCCCACCAAGGCGACGAUCCGUAGCUGGUCUGAGAGGACGACCAGCCACACUGGGACUGAGACACGGCCCAGACUCCUACGGGAGGCAGCAGUGGGGAAUUUUGGACAAUGGGGGCAACCCUGAUCCAGCAAUGCCGCGUGUGUGAAGAAGGCCUUCGGGUUGUAAAGCACUUUUGUCCGGAAAGAAAACUACGUCCCUAAUAUGGACGGAGGAUGACGGUACCGGAAGAAUCAGCACCGGCUAACUACGUGCCAGCAGCCGCGGUAAUACGUAGGGUGCAAGCGUUAAUCGGAAUUACUGGGCGUAAAGCGUGCGCAGGCGGUGAUGUAAGACCGAUGUGAAAUCCCCGGGCUUAACCUGGGAACUGCAUUGGUGACUGCAUUGCUGGAGUAUGGCAGAGGGGGGUGGAAUUCCACGUGUAGCAGUGAAAUGCGUAGAGAUGUGGAGGAACACCGAUGGCGAAGGCAGCCCCCUGGGCCAAUACUGACGCUCAGC
RNAcentral lists this ribosomal RNA (618 nucleotides) under Burkholderia sp. RNAcentral's name for it is "bacterial SSU rRNA". It matches the Rfam family "Bacterial small subunit ribosomal RNA", at positions 138 to 752 of the family's 1533-position model. Lineage: Bacteria; Pseudomonadati; Pseudomonadota; Betaproteobacteria; Burkholderiales; Burkholderiaceae. The record is from RNAcentral.